RNAcentral lists this ribosomal RNA (435 nucleotides) under uncultured bacterium. RNAcentral describes it as "bacterial SSU rRNA". It matches the Rfam family "Bacterial small subunit ribosomal RNA", at positions 917 to 1350 of the family's 1533-position model. The record is from RNAcentral.
GGACCCGCACAAGUAGUGGAGCAUGUGGUUUAAUUCGAAGAUACGCGCAGAACCUUACCAACACUUGACAUGUUCGUCGCGACUUUAAGAGAUUAAAGUUUUCGGUUCGGCCGGACGAAACACAGGUGCUGCAUGGCUGUCGUCAGCUCGUGUCGUGAGAUGUUGGGUUAAGUCCCGCAACGAGCGCAACCCUCACUUUUAGUUGCCAUCAUUAAGUUGGGCACUCUGAAAGAACUGCCAGUGAUAAGCUGGAGGAAGGUGGGGAUGACGUCAAGUCCUCAUGGCCCUUACGUGUUGGGCUACACACGUGCUACAAUGGUAUCUACAACAGGAAGCAAGACUGCGAAGUUAAGCAAAUCCCUAAAAGAUACCUCAGUUCGGAUUGCACUCUGCAACUCGAGUGCAUGAAGCUGGAAUUACUAGUAAUCGUGGAUC